ACAGACUUCAACAGUCUUCAGGAAGACUCGGCUUCAUAAUCUGGCCCAUAAGGAAAGAAUUCCCCAAGUCUGCCCUAAUCUUCUGUGUAGGACCUAGGUAUGAUGUCCUUUAAGUUCCCUUCUAACUCCAUGAUUCUAUAAACUCAGCCCAGCUUUCCGAUUUUAGCAGAGGGUAAUCAGUUACAUGAAAACACCAAUGUCAACCUUCCAUGAUGUGGAACACCUGCUUUUCCUACAAGAUACCUUCUACACCAGCUACAAAUGGAUAUGUGGAAUUUCUCAGGCUGUUGUGUCCAAAAUAGGCUAUAAGGAGACUUUUGAUUCAGCGCUAACAUGUAAAGCUUGAAAGUCAUCACUCCCAUCCCUAAAACAAGAAAACAGUAGAACAAACUGAAAAUCAACAACUGUUCUUGAACUGUUCAGAGAACUGAGGUCCCAGGGCAAAGGACCACCCUGAAAUCUGGAGACCCAGGAGAAUAUAGAGAUCACAGCCGAGAUCUGCUUAUCUGAAGUGGAAGCUGUUGGAGCCAGAAACUGGCAGGAACACCUGCGCGGUAAUUUUGACAAAUGGCUGGAAAUGUUAGUGUGGACUAGGAUGACAGUGAGAAACUCCUGGGGGAUUAAGAAGACCUUCAUGCUUUCUUAGGUCAAUCUCCA
Homo sapiens (human) is the source of this 657-nucleotide long non-coding RNA. NCBI's taxonomy places the organism in Eukaryota, Metazoa, Chordata, Mammalia, Primates, Hominidae. The record is from Ensembl.